CUUUCUUGGUGCCUAGUCAUCUUGGUUAUAACAACAAUAUUCUCGAAACUGUACUUAGAACAAAAAUAAAAAAAGUACAUAGCGCACAACAACGUCAAACAGAUCCAGUGUUUUUGUAUAUGCUUGACAUAUUAUUAUAAUUUUUCAAGCUCAUCAAUCAAAAAAAGAAAUAAAAAUAUCUACAACAUGACUUCAUCGCCAAUAUUAAAUCCAGAAAUUCCAUUUGUGGGUGCGGUUGAAGGAGGUUUAUCACCAGGUAAACUGGUAAAUGUUAGAGGAAAAGUACCUGAAAAUGCUGUUCGUUUUGCAAUAAAUUAUCAACUAGGACCAAAUAUAAAUCCUCGUGAUGAUAUUGCAAUUCAUUUAUCACCACGUUUUACUGAUGGUAUUAUAACACGUAAUCAUAUUAAUUCAAUGUCAUGGGGACCUGAAGAAAAUAGUGGAGCAUUAUGGAUUCAACCAGGUCAAGCAUUUGAAAUAAUUAUUCUUUGUGAACCAUUGCAAUAUAGAAUUGCAAUAAAUGGUCGUCAUUAUACUGAAUUUGCUCAUCGUUUACCAUAUCAACGUGUUACACAUCUUGUUAUUGAUGGUGAUGUUGAAAUAAUAUCUGUAUUUUAUGAAAAUAUUAAUAGCUCACCAUCACAAGCAAUGCCUCCAAAUAUUCCUGCAGCAAAUUUUGGACCUCCAACUGCUGGUGGUAUUUAUCCAACUCUUGGACCUCAAGUUCCAUCAAUGCCACAAGGUGGUAAUAAUUAUUAUCCAAAUCCUCCAAAUACUCCAAGUACAUAUGCUGGUGGUUAUAAUCCACAACCAGAAGAAGAAAGUCCAUUUAGUGGAUGUCUUGAUAAAGUUGGAUUAGCUGUUGGAGGAUUGAUUGCAGCUGGUGGUGUUGCUGCAGCAAUGAAUGCUAUAAAUAAAAAAAAAGAUACUGAGGAUAGUCAUGAAAAAACAGAUUCAUCAAAUUUACAAAAUGAAAGUUCAGGACUUGGUGGUCUUGGUGCACUUGGUGCAGCACUUGCUAGUAGUCUUGCAACAAAUGCAUUAAAAGGUGAUUCACAUGGCUCACAAGGUUAUCCUUCACAAGACUCAGGUGCUGGUGGAAUGUUGGGAUCAAUACUUAAUUCACUUGGUGGAUCUGAUAAUUCAUCAAACAGACAUUCAUCAAAUGAUCUUGGUGGUCUUGGUGGUUUAGGAUCAUUACUCGGUGGUGUUUUAAAUAAAGGAGGUAAUCAACAACCAAGUUAUGAACCAAGUGGUGGUUAUUCUAGACCAUCACAAAGUGAUAAUACAACAUCUGAUUUAAUAAAUUCUAUUGGUGGUUCAUUGUUUUCUUCUGCUCUUGAUAGCCUUACUAAACACAAAUCUCAUGGAAAUGAUGAUAAAUCUUCAUCAUAUCCACAAAAACCACCUCAGUAUGAAGAUAAUUAUGGAGCAAGGUAUGAUAUUCCUCCACCAUACCAACCAGUACCAACACCACCAUCACCAAGUGAUAAUAAAUUAUCUGCUGAUGAAAUAUCAAAGGGUCUUGGUCUUGGUGAUGAAUAAAUUAUUUACUUAUUUUGAUUAUUUAUUGUGGUUUAGUUCAAAAAUGAAUAUUAAUUUAAGAAAAACAAAAAAAGCUUAUACAUAAAAAUUUUAAUUCAGAUAUUAUUGCAAAGCUUAAUCAAUAACUAUGGAGGAAACUAAAAUCUCAUAUUUAUAUAUUUUUUUGUUAUUCAUAAAAGACUCUAUGGAUUUGUUGAAAAAUAUAUAAAGUCUAUAAAAUUAUUUCUUUUAUUAAACAUAGCGUGCUGUUUAUGAAAAAAAAAAAAAAAUUCAAUUAAUCAUAUUAUAUAAUCACAUCUUGAUAAUAAAAGGGCCUAACCGGAAUUUUUGUUUUAUUUAAUACUAAAAAGUUUUUUUUUUUUUGUUUUUUCGAAUUAUUUAUUUAAAUUUUAAUAUAAAAAAAAUAUUGUUAACAACGAUACGGUCUCUCUAAUAACAAUAUAAUUCUUGUUGUUUACGACAUAUAAUUACAUGAGUAAUAAAUGUUUUUUUUUUCUUGCUGGAUGAUCACUUAAAAUUGUUUGACACAAUGAAAAAAGAAAAAAAAAAUGCUAUGUAUCAUUAUCAAUAAUUACUUCUCGGCUUUGAUUGUUAAGUAUAAUAAUUAUUGUGUUAUAAUUAAAAAAAAAAACGUGUCUUAUAACACCAGAAAAUUGAAUUUAAAAAAAUUAAAAGAUAAAAUAAAUUGAAAGUCAUAUAAUAUAAAUCUUUUGCACAAAUUAUAAGUAUAAAUUUUUGCUUUAAAAAUUCCAUAUAUAUGUACUAGAUAUUAAUAAAAUAGUUUUUAAAAAAAUUAUGGGUUUUUACUAAUUUAUUUAAUUGCUUGAAUAUUAUAAAUAUUUUGUUUAUCUAAACAGCAUAUAUUAAUUGAUAUAAAAAUUAAUUCAGAUCGUUUAAAGACACGACAAUUGAACUUGAUAAAUUCCAAGAUCAUUUGGAUAAAUUAUUUACAACCUCGACAUGAUAAAAAGUAAAAAAAAAAAAAUGAUAUACUAAAUACUCAAUGUUGUUUAGAACAUUAAAAUUCUGAAGAUACAAAAUUGUCCUUCGUGUAAGCAUUACAGAGUAUGUAUCACAGCCUCGGUACUAAAAAUAAAAAGACAUGCAAUACAACGACUCAAGGUGUUGACAGUUUCAUUGUGAACAGCGUAAAACAUCAACGUAAAAAAAAGUGUCGAGACUAGAAUAAUAGUUUCGAGUUAUUUAUUUUCAUCAUAAAUAUACAACAACCAUUGUAAAAUUAUGUAAAACAUAAUGUAUAUGAAAUCACUGCUAAAAACACAA
RNAcentral lists this unclassified non-coding RNA (2829 nucleotides) under Aphidius gifuensis. RNAcentral describes it as "uncharacterized LOC122854708, transcript variant X1". Lineage: Eukaryota; Metazoa; Arthropoda; Insecta; Hymenoptera; Braconidae. The record is from RNAcentral.